CCUACGGGUGGCAGCAGUAGGGAAUAUUGCUCAAUGGGGGAAACCCUGAAGCAGCAACGCCGCGUGGGGGAUGAAGGUUUUCGGAUCGUAAACUCCUAUUGGUAGAGAAGAAAAUGACGGUAUCUAACGAAUAAGCCCCGGCUAACUCCGUGCCAGCAGCCGCGGUAAUACGGAGGGGGCAAGCGUUAUUCGGAAUCACUGGGUGUAAAGAGCGCGUAGACGGGAGAGCAAGUCAGCUGUGAAAUCCUAUGGCUUAACCAUAGAACUGCAUUGGAAACUGUGAGUCUAGAGUGUAGGAGAGGUAAGUGGAAUUCUUGGUGUAGGGGUAAAAUGCGUAGAGAUCAAGAGGAAUACUCAUGGCGAAGGCGACCUACUGGACCGUAACUGACGCUGAUGCGCGAAAGCGUGGGGAGCAAACAGGAUUAGAUACCCCUGUAGUC
RNAcentral lists this ribosomal RNA (440 nucleotides) under uncultured bacterium. RNAcentral's name for it is "partial 16S ribosomal RNA". It matches the Rfam family "Bacterial small subunit ribosomal RNA", at positions 338 to 795 of the family's 1533-position model. The record is from RNAcentral.